RNAcentral lists this non-coding RNA (23 nucleotides) under Arabidopsis thaliana (thale cress). Lineage: Eukaryota; Viridiplantae; Streptophyta; Magnoliopsida; Brassicales; Brassicaceae. The record is from RNAcentral.
CUGAAAUUUGUGUAGUUGUGGUA